Molecule: ribosomal RNA, 327 nt
Filed under: uncultured eukaryote
Lineage: Eukaryota
Description: partial 18S ribosomal RNA
Rfam family: Eukaryotic small subunit ribosomal RNA
Source: RNAcentral
CCCUUAGAUGUUCUGGGCCGCACGCGCGCUACACUGACGAAUGCAACGAGCUUAUAACCUUGGCCGUAAGGUCUGGGUAAUCUCCAAAUUUCGUCGUGAUGGGGAUAGAUUAUUGCAAUUAUUAAUCUUCAACGAGGAAUGCCUAGUAAGCGCAAGUCAUCAGCUUGCGUUGAUUACGUCCCUGCCCUUUGUACACACCGCCCGUCGCUCCUACCGAUUGAAUGGUCCGGUGAAGCGUUCGGACCGUGGCCUUUGGACGGUUCGCCGUCUGUUGGCUGCGGGAAGUUCGUUAAACCUUAUCAUUUAGAGGAAGGAGAANUCGUANCA